This 429-nucleotide ribosomal RNA is filed under the name uncultured bacterium. RNAcentral's name for it is "bacterial SSU rRNA". It matches the Rfam family "Bacterial small subunit ribosomal RNA", at positions 355 to 776 of the family's 1533-position model. The record is from RNAcentral.
UGGGGAAUUUUGGACAAUGGGCGCAAGCCUGAUCCAGCCAUGCCGCGUGAGUGAAGAAGGCCUUCGGGUUGUAAAGCUCUUUCGGCCGGAACGAAAUCGUCCGGGCUAAUACCCCGGAUGGAUGACGGUACCGGAAGAAGAAGCACCGGCUAACUACGUGCCAGCAGCCGCGGUAAUACGUAGGGUGCAGGCGUUAAUCGGAAUUACUGGGCGUAAAGCGUGCGCAGGCGGCUACUCAAGUCAGAUGUGAAAUCCCCGGGCUUAACCUGGGAACUGCGUUUGAAACUGGGUGGCUGGAGUGCGGCAGAGGGGGGUGGAAUUCCACGUGUAGCAGUGAAAUGCGUAGAUAUGUGGAGGAACACCGAUGGCGAAGGCAGCCCCCUGGGCCUGCACUGACGCUCAUGCACGAAAGCGUGGGGAGCAAACAGG